AUGGCUGUCGUCAGCUCGUGCCGUGAGGUGUUGGGUUAAGUCCCGCAACGAGCGCAACCCCUAUUCUUAGUUGCCAGCACAUAAUGGUGGGGACUCUAGGAAGACUGCCUGCGCAAGCAGAGAGGAAGGAGGGGACGACGUCAAGUCAUCAUGGCCCUUACGUCCAGGGCUACACACGUGCUACAAUGGCAUAUACAGAGGGUCGCUACACGGUAACGUGAUGCCAAUCUCAAAAAGUAUGUCCCAGUUCGGAUUGAGGUCUGCAACUCGACCUCAUGAAGCUGGAAUCGCUAGUAAUCGCGCAUCAGCAAUGGCGCGGUGAAUACGUUCCCGGACCUUGUACACACCGCCCGUGGGGCGGGGGCGGCGGGCCGGGCGCGGGGCGCGGCGGGCG
This 394-nucleotide ribosomal RNA is filed under the name uncultured bacterium. RNAcentral's name for it is "bacterial SSU rRNA". It matches the Rfam family "Bacterial small subunit ribosomal RNA", at positions 1045 to 1437 of the family's 1533-position model. The record is from RNAcentral.